UUAGAAAACCAGGACUUGAACCUGCACUCAAUAACUCAAAAUUAUUUGUACUUCAUUAUACUAUCUCCUA
This 70-nucleotide transfer RNA is filed under the name Anolis cybotes (large-headed anole). RNAcentral's name for it is "tRNA-Gln". Lineage: Eukaryota; Metazoa; Chordata; Lepidosauria; Squamata; Anolidae. The record is from RNAcentral.